UACGUAGGGUGCGAGCGUUGUCCGGAAUUAUUGGGCGUAAAGAGCUCGUAGGCGGUCUGUCGCGUCGAUCGUGAAAACUUGGGGCUUAACCCUGAGCUUGCGGUCGAUACGGGCAUGACUGGAGUUCGGCAGGGGAGACUGGAAUUCCUGGUGUAGCGGUGAAAUGCGCAGAUAUCAGGAGGAACACCGGUGGCGAAGGCGGGUCUCUGGGCCGAUACUGACGCUGAGAAGCGAAAGCGUGGGGAGCGAACAGG
This 254-nucleotide ribosomal RNA is filed under the name uncultured bacterium. RNAcentral describes it as "partial 16S ribosomal RNA". It matches the Rfam family "Bacterial small subunit ribosomal RNA", at positions 524 to 776 of the family's 1533-position model. The record is from RNAcentral.